GCGUGGGAACGUGCCCUUCAGUUCGGGAUAACCCAGGGAAACUUGGGCUAAUACCGGAUACGUGCGAGAGCAGAAAGAUUUAUCGCUGAAGGAUCGGCCCGCGUCUGAUUAGCUAGUUGGUGAGGUAAUGGCUCACCAAGGCGACGAUCAGUAGCUGGUCUGAGAGGAUGAUCAGCCACAUUGGGGACUGAGACACGGCCCAAACUCCUACGGGAGGCAGCAGUGGGGGAAUAUUGGACAAUGGGCGCAAGCCUGAUCCAGCCAUGCCGCGUGAGUGAUGAAGGCCUUAGGGUUGUAAAG
Molecule: ribosomal RNA, 300 nt
Filed under: uncultured Microvirga sp.
Lineage: Bacteria; Pseudomonadati; Pseudomonadota; Alphaproteobacteria; Hyphomicrobiales; Methylobacteriaceae
Description: bacterial SSU rRNA
Rfam family: Bacterial small subunit ribosomal RNA
Source: RNAcentral